RNAcentral lists this ribosomal RNA (497 nucleotides) under uncultured bacterium. RNAcentral describes it as "partial 16S ribosomal RNA". It matches the Rfam family "Bacterial small subunit ribosomal RNA", at positions 28 to 507 of the family's 1533-position model. The record is from RNAcentral.
GACGAACGCUGGCGGCGUGCCUAAUACAUGCAAGUUGAGCGCUGAAGGUUGGUACUUGUACCAACUGGAUGAGCAGCGAACGGGUGAGUACCGCGUGGGGAAUCUGCCUUUGAGCGGGGGACAACAUUGGGAAACGAAUGCUAAUACCGCAUAAAAACUUUAAACACAAGCUUUAAGUUUGAAAGAUGCCAUUGCAUCACUCAAAGAUGAUCCCGCGUUGUAUUAGCUAGUUGGUGAGGUAAAGGCGCACCAAGGCGAUGCUACAUAGCCGACCUGAGAGGGUGGUCGGCCACAUUGGGACUGGGACCCGGCCCCAACUCCUACGGGAGGCAGCAGUAGGGAAUCUUCGGCCAUGGACGCAAGUCCGACCGCGCAACGCCGCGUGCGUGAAGAAGGUUUUCGGAUCGUAAAACUCUGUUGGUAGAGAAGAACGGUGGUGAGAGUGGAAAGCUCAUCAAGUGACGGUAACUACCCAGAAAGGGACGGCUAACUACGUG